GGAUACGUGCCUGAAAGCUAAGGGCCUCCUUGAUAGGGAGGACUAUAGGGGUUUAAACCCCCUCGUCUCC
RNAcentral lists this transfer RNA (70 nucleotides) under Anomaloglossus sp. 'Acari'. RNAcentral's name for it is "tRNA-Ile". It matches the Rfam family "tRNA". Rfam says of the family: Transfer RNA (tRNA) molecules are approximately 80 nucleotides in length. Their secondary structure includes four short double-helical elements and three loops (D, anti-codon, and T loops). Further hydrogen bonds mediate the characteristic L-shaped molecular structure. tRNAs have two regions of fundamental functional importance: the anti-codon, which is responsible for specific mRNA codon recognition, and the 3' end, to which the tRNAs corresponding amino acid is attached (by aminoacyl-tRNA synthetases). tRNAs cope with the degeneracy of the genetic code in two manners: having more than one tRNA (with a specific anti-codon) for a particular amino acid; and 'wobble' base-pairing, i.e. permitting non-standard base-pairing at the 3rd anti-codon position. The record is from RNAcentral. Lineage: Eukaryota; Metazoa; Chordata; Amphibia; Anura; Aromobatidae.